This 194-nucleotide non-coding RNA is filed under the name Brenneria goodwinii. Its description in RNAcentral is "Lysine sequence". It matches the Rfam family "Lysine riboswitch aptamer". From Rfam's summary of the family: Riboswitches are metabolite binding domains within certain messenger RNAs that serve as precision sensors for their corresponding targets. Allosteric rearrangement of mRNA structure is mediated by ligand binding, and this results in modulation of gene expression. This family includes riboswitches that sense lysine in a number of genes involved in lysine metabolism, including lysC. The record is from Rfam by way of RNAcentral. Lineage: Bacteria; Pseudomonadati; Pseudomonadota; Gammaproteobacteria; Enterobacterales; Pectobacteriaceae.
CAAGCCAGAAGAGGCGCGUCGCCCAGGUAAGAUAUCGGAGGAUCCGUAGUCCGCAGAUGAUAUCCGAGGGGGAGCGAUGCCGAGAUGAAAUGAAAAUACGGCGUUCACUUCAUCGACCGCAGGGGCUGAAUCCCCUGGGUUGUCACCCGGUUCGCCCAGAAGGGCGUUCAGCAAGGUGGAGCGCUUCUGGGUGU